This 737-nucleotide ribosomal RNA is filed under the name uncultured bacterium. Its description in RNAcentral is "bacterial SSU rRNA". It matches the Rfam family "Bacterial small subunit ribosomal RNA", at positions 125 to 902 of the family's 1533-position model. The record is from RNAcentral.
CCUGCCUUUAGGUUCGGAAUAACUCAGAGAAAUUUGAGCUAAUACCGGAUAAUGUCUUCGGACCAAAGAUUUAUCGCCUUUAGAUGGGCCCGCGUUAGAUUAGAUAGUUGGUGGGGUAACGGCCUACCAAGUCGACGAUCUAUAGCUGGUCUGAGAGGAUGAUCAGCCACACUGGGACUGAGACACGGCCCAGACUCCUACGGGAGGCAGCAGUGGGGAAUAUUGGACAAUGGGCGAAAGUGAUCCAGCAAUGCCGCGUGAGUGAUGAAGGCCUUAGGGUUGUAAAGCUCUUUUACUAGGGAUGAUAAUGACAGUACCUAGAGAAUAAGCUCCGGCUAACUCCGUGCCAGCAGCCGCGGUAAUACGGAGGGAGCUAGCGUUGUUCGGAAUUACUGGGCGUAAAGCGCGCGUAGGGGCUUAUCAAGUCAGGGGUGAAAUCCCGGAGCUCAACUCCGGAACUGCCCUUGAAACUGGUUGGCUAGAAUAUUGGAGAGGUAAGUGGAAUUCCGAGUGUAGAGGUGAAAUUCGUAGAUAUUCGGAAGAACACCAGUGGCGAAGGGACUUACUGGACAAUUAUUGACGCUGAGGUGCGAAAGGUGGGGAGCAAACAGGAUUAGAUACCCUGGUAGUCCACGCCGUAAACGAUGAUAACUAGCUGUCCGAGCUCAUAGAGCUUGGGUGGCGCAGUAACGCAUUAAGUUAUCCGCCUGGGGAGUACGGUCGCAAGAUUAAAACUC